This 249-nucleotide ribosomal RNA is filed under the name uncultured Cryomorphaceae bacterium. RNAcentral's name for it is "partial 16S ribosomal RNA". It matches the Rfam family "Bacterial small subunit ribosomal RNA", at positions 355 to 601 of the family's 1533-position model. Lineage: Bacteria; Pseudomonadati; Bacteroidota; Flavobacteriia; Flavobacteriales; Cryomorphaceae. The record is from RNAcentral.
UUAGGAAUUUUGCGCAAUGGGCGAAAGCCUGACGCAGCCAUGCCGCGUGCAGGAAGAAGGCGCUACGCGUUGUAAACUGCUUUUAUCCGGGAAGAAACCCCAGGACGUGUCCUGGGUUGACGGUACCGGAGGAAUAAGCACCGGCUAACUUCGUGCCAGCAGCCGCGGUAAUACGAAGGGUGCAAGCGUUAUCCGGAUUCAUUGGGUUUAAAGGGUGCGUAGGCGGAGCGUUAAGUCAGUGGUGAAAUC